This 9061-nucleotide long non-coding RNA is filed under the name Sus scrofa (pig). RNAcentral describes it as "lncRNA (ENSSSCG00045000579.1)". The record is from RNAcentral. Lineage: Eukaryota; Metazoa; Chordata; Mammalia; Artiodactyla; Suidae.
AAAGACUUUGUUUAAAUUUUGAUUUUUAUCCCCAAAGGAGUUUUUUUUUUUUUCUUUAUGCAAAAGCAAAAGCAAGUCCAGGAAUGGGAACAAACGCCAUGGAAUGAGAAUCCGUCUCAGGGAUGCUCAUUAUUUACACUCCUCAAAAUUCAGCAUUUGGGAACUUAAUACAAGAUCACUGUGCUACACUGUGUUACCCCAUCUCAGUGUCUUCUCAUACAUAGCACUUAAAAGUCCCAGCCAGAGACCCAUACAGCAAUAUUUUCCCCCAUGUAAUGGUUUCCUGCGCGUCGAGCUCCCCUCCCGGAAAACAUUAUAAAGAACUUCCACAGUGAGAGACGCCGCUGACUCCUCCGAGCUCAGGAGCAUCGCUCAGACAUACCCAUGUGAAACGCCUCUUCCUGCAGUGGUCUUUCCAUAGCUUAUGAAUAGCGUCCCCUCCAAAACAUUUGAAAAGGAAAAUGAAGUGUGAAGUUCCUGCCUACGAGCCAUGUAUUUUAAACAACAUCCAGCUGAAGGUAUUUUUUCAGCUUUGUUUCACAAGGAAUUUAGCAGAUGAGGAAAAAACAGCCCCCUUUCUUUCUGUAAGUUACCGUGUUACUUUCCCAACGCUGCCGUGUGCCCUCUCCCUUCUCACGUGCAGACCCCGGGCAUUCUGCUUCGGGCCCGUCCUAGCCUGAUCUGCUGCACUGUGACUUGAGGACAUCUGCGAAGACCCUGCUUCCAAAACUGUCACGUUCACACGUGCUGGGAGUUAGGACUUGAACUAACUUCUGGGGAGACACGAUUCAGACAGCUGCAGAUGCGGGGGAGCUAAACAUCCCUCCACGUUACUUGGGGCCUGAGAAUAAGCUGCAGGCACUUCAAAGUCAUUGCUGAUACCAGAACUGACUUUUUCCUAGGAGAAAACUUGGCCGGUAGUCAGGUUUGGGGCUAAUAACCGACUUAGGUGUGCUUACUGCUUCUGGCUGGCAUUUAUGAAGCUACUGGUCGACAUUUUAUUUUUAUUUUUUAAACUUUUUAUCUUUUUGUCUUUUUAGGGCCUCCCCCAUGGCAUAUGGAGGUUCUCAGGCUAGGGAAUUGAUCGCAGGGGGGCAUGAGAGAAUUUCCCAGGAGGAUGGAGGUGUAUCUUGUUGGGGUGAUGGUUUCACAGGUGUAGACGUGUGUCCAAAGCGUCGGAGGUGAGGAGAACAACGCCAGGUCUGCCUCCUUCUGCUCAGUGAGCGCCAAAUCCAGGAAACUCCGUCCUCGUCCGGGUUCCUCUAGAGUGUCACACGGACUGCAUAUAACCCCGGCGUCCAGGGGUCCUGCUGUUUCCUCUCUUUCGUAGACACUGUUCACCGUCUAAUCGUCUUCCAUCGUGAAGAAGCCUCUUCCAGGAAGCACACGUGGUAGCUGGUACUGCAGGGUUCUGAAAGUGUCCGUGUCUCGGACUUUUUCUCAAGUAAGAGUCCAUGAGUGGGAACCAUCUGGCUUAUUUCUUAGCAAGGAAGUACUGGAGGGGUUAUUACAGUGAAAGUUCCUUCCUGGGAAAGUAACUUUUUCCCUAAAUAAUGUAGAGAAUUGGAGACAUUUAUAAAUUUUUAGAAGUAUGAUUUCAAAGAGUGCUUUUGGCACUUUAUUUUUCUUUCAAUUGCUUUGGCCGUGCUUAAGCAAACAUUUGAAGAUCGCUAGGAAAGGCAGCAUGCCAUAGUUAUUUAAAAGUUGAUUUUAUUGCAUUUUCUCCUAAUCAUCUUGAGUUGAUGAUUUCAUAUUUAAUUUGGGAAAAAUCCUGGCUUAUCCGAGUUUAAACAAUGUCUAGGCAUUUUCAUAUUAAUGUUUUCUUAUUAUUCACUUCGUGGACCUUAAUACUGAUUUUAAAACUCAGGCACACAUUCGCACAUGUAUGGCUGGAAAAUAUUCAAUAGUAACACUGUGGCCGUUUUGUUUGGAAAACUGUUUUUACUUAAAAGUCACAUGUUGAGUUCUGUUUGGAAAACGUCAAAGUUUCAUAUGAAAAAUGCAAUCUGUACUGAGAAGGGAACAGGUGAGUGAGCUUUGAAGUGCAUUUGAAUAUAGAAGCAGUCCUUGAGGGGCGCUGAGUUGAGGAUCGCAGAGGAAACGGCACGUGUGAUAGGAAGGGAAGCUCUGAGUAGCUCACAUUCAUGCCCCUCCUUGCAAGUUCUGAGACCAGCUGCCCCGUUUGGGGGAGGCGUCCGGUUUGACAUAGGAAGUGGCACGUGUCCGCCUUCGGGGACUAACUUCUGAGCACAGCACGCCGGGUCCUGAGUGUUGCUUCUCUCCACGGCUUCCCAGCGGUCCCAUCCCUUGGUGAGCCCUGUAUCUUCUAAACUCCCUCAGCCUGUGCCGAAUACAGCUCUUGUGUAACAUGAAUGGGCUACUUUGUUCUGUGUUGGUGACAAGCCUUGUGACCUUUGGAAAGCAGAGAUUGUGCCUUUUCACGCUGGUGCCCCUAGAGCCUAGGACAGCGCUGACACAGAGCAGGUCCUCCUCGGUGACGAUGAGAUGGUCUCAGCAGUCGUCCCCUCGCCACCUCUCCCCCCACCACUGCAGCAUCUCACAUCUACCACACUGCAGGGCAACGGGCCACCUGCUGCUUGGGAGAGUUCUCCUCUAGGCUGUGAGAUUCUCGGAGGCUGGGAUGAUAUCUUAUUCACUUCCUUGCUCUCGGGGUCUGGCACCUCAUAAGAAUCUAAGAAGUAAUUGUUGGAUAGAAGUGUGAAGGAGGGAACUGAAGCAGGAGGCGUGGCUUUUAGCCCUUCACCACAAUUUGUUCAGGAACAUUGAGGAAAUAGCCCGGCGUCUCCGUCCAGUCUGUGUUCGUACCUGAUUUGAUCAUCAGAGACCCUCCUAGGUUUAGAAUGCUGAGUUGAUGAUCUUGGUGCUCGCUUGAUAGAAAGGUGCUUUAGUGCAAAUUCCGAGUCAGCAAGCUAGGUUCUGUAAGCGCUCAGCAGUUGGUUUUCUCCUGCGUCCGAACCUCUCAUCACCUGGAACUCUGUGGACCCCAGAGACCGGCUUGCCGAAGAGCGGGAGGAUGUCCUUAUAAACAGCUCCCCGUCAGGAAAAGCCUGGAGACCCCAGUCCCUGGAGAACAGGUGUGAGAAGUUCACACCAAUAGUUCAACAAAUGAGGCAACCAUUUAGACUUUUAGCCAAGGGCUGAUUUUCUAAGCAGCCUUAGCCUUCCACUGCCUGCUCAGUCAGAGCAUCAGUUGGCCUGAGGAUUUCUCGGAAGCAGUGGGUCCAGACACCUUGCCUGUCCUGCAUCCAUUUGUUGAGCUCUCUGUACCCACACUAUUAGAACUCACCGCAUUCUCCGAACAGCCGCAUAUCACAGACAAGGAAACUAAGGCAAAGAGAGCCAGGGUUAUGCAGCUAGUGAAUGGUAAAGGCAAGGUUCAGAUCCUCACUAUCUGAUCCCAAAAGGAUAGUCAAACAGCGAAGUUUUACAGGAACCUUGCUUUCGCAGGGCUGGGCAUGGGCGUGUUGGAAACGAAUGGUUGAAGACAACAAGGGUUGACACCUUCAAGCCCAAACAGCUUGGCCUGUGUGCGCAGCCUUAGGGGUGAUUCCCAGGCAGUGCACACUGUCUGGAAAGCCAGCGCCCCGCCCCCCGCAGCGACCAGCGCCGGGACACAGAGCCGUCACCCGAUCUCCUCCAGGCCUGUGGGGCCCGCGAGCGGACUCCGUCCCGCAGCCCGUGGAGGCAGGUGGGCCUUGUUAGGAGUUACUGAGCCAAUCAAGGGCUCAAAGGCAAAGGCCUUUCCUUCCAGACAGGAGAGGGGGGGUGUAUCAGGUAGCUCUUCGGAGAGUUUUUAUGCUGCUGCCUUCCAUUUUCCCCGGAUUCUGUAACCCUAAUGAUUUGGGACCAAGGACAAGAGUAAUGCUGUUUCAUGCUCUUACUCAUAUUUCCUUCAGUCAUUGUCUUCCCAUCCUCAUGUUUAAUAACUGUAAGUGAGACGGACACACACACAGAGCCCCUUCUUUGACAUGGGGGCUGUCUUCAGGGUGCUGGCAAGUGUUUCUGCUCAUCUUGCUGGAAUCAGUGUUCUGGCCAGAGUGUCUGAGUCUCGCAGCAAAACACAUUAUUUAUAAGAGAAUCACAGUUCUUAUGUUGGCUUAUGUUCCCAAACUAUUUGCAGCAAUUUCUGAGUGGGAUAUGCCUGGCUCUUGACUUGGAAGGGUAAAAAGGCCCAUGCAUUUCUCUUAAUGAAUUCAAUCAGUCCUGGAAACAGGCAGAUUUCCCAGGGUUUCAUUAAUUCACGUUGGUUUCUGACGGACAGUAGGUUCUUCUAGUCAUUAAAAAGGAUACUCUUGGCAUGGAAACCAGAUCCUCAUGAGGGAGUGAAUCCCUCCUGCGACAACCAAACAACUGCUGUCCUGCUUGUGACAACAGCCACAGGGGCUGCGAACUCGUGUUCAACAAAAGGGUUUUCUCCCUUUUGGGGGCAACUCUCAUUUUUAGAAUGUUCUUUUUGUAUUGAGCUGAGACUGCGUCCCUUAGACUUCGCUUUCCCGGAGAGUCUUUCUGGCCCUUCUCUGUCGGCUCCUCCUCCUUCGCACCAACCCUGUACGUCUUGGUGUUUCUCAGAAAGCAGUAAACUUUCCUUAUCACCCACCAUCCUUGGACAAUCUACGGUUUCUGAGUUCAUCUUCUAGUGAUGAGCAUAUGGAAGCCCAGCCUCCGUGUGGGGCUUCAGGUCGUAUCUACCUGGCUACCUCACAGGGGCCACAUACCCAGUUUAUCCCCCCCUUAUUUUUCUCUUCCUUAGACUUUGGAAGUUGGUGCAUGAUGCUGCUGUCUACUCAGAUUCCUAAGAAGCCGAGGGAAUUGUGUUAGGUUCCUCCCUCGCACAGUCCUUCAAGCACCGAGCCCUCUGGUAUUGCUGUGUUAAAACGCCACGUGCCUCCCUUCCUCCCCAGCCCCGCCACCAAAGGCCCUCACUGUUUCUUGACUGAUAAUUGUGAAAACUUAUAAAAUUAUAUUGUCUCCUUGCUUCCAGAUUCACCCCUUUCAAUCUCUCCGUCUCCAGAGUGAACCACUAAUAUUUAAGCUUAACACCAUCUGCUAAAAAUUCCUACAUGAUUUCAUCUUGCGACAAGAUAAUCCUAAGUGCAUUUGGAUAACAUUCCCAAUGCUAUAGACACACCCAUUAGGAGGGCUAUUUAUAAUACACAAACAACUCCCACGACUCAAUGAACAAGCAGCCCUGUUUCAAAAAUGGGCCGUGAUUCGAGGAGACAUUUGUUCCAGAAACUUAUACACAGCAGUGUGGGCAUGUAAACGGUGCCACCGCUGCGGGAAACUGUGUAGCACCUCAAAAAAUUAGAAGUGAAAUUACUGUAUGAUCCUGCAACCCCCCUUCUGGGAUGUACCCCAAGGAGCGGAAAGCGGGGAUCUACAUGGAUGUUUGGAUAACAUUUUAUAACGGCAGCAUUCACAACAGGCAAAUGGUGGAAGCAACCGUGUCCAUCAGUGGGUAAGUGUGAUGAGCGGAUACCACAUACAGUUAGUUAACCUUCAAAAGAAAGGAAAUGCCAACUCAUGCUACAGCACUGAUGAAUCAUGAAGACAUAACGCUAAGGGAAAUAAGCCAAUCGGAAAAAACAAAUGCUGCAUGAUAUGAGUUAGACCCGGUACUUAGAGUAGGUGAAGGCACAGACACAGAGUAGGUGGUGGUUGAAGGUGCUGUUGGGGGAGAUGGAGACAGCGUUUAAGGAGUAAAGAGCUUCAGCUUGGAAGGGAGAACAGUUCAAGGCUGGAUGGUGGUGCUUGUUUUACCAUGUGAAUGUACUUAAAGCUACUGCACACUUAAAAAUACUUGAAAUGGUCACUUAUAUUUCACUGUAAUUGAAAAAAAGAAAGAUCCUGUAGGACCUGAUUCUUAGCUGUCUUUUCUUGUUUGUCAACACAGGCUCUGGCAACCCUGAGCAACUCAAAACAUACUUGGCUCUCCCAAGAGCCAGUGAUUUCCUGCGUGCGGCCUCGUGGUCUCUUACUCUCUCUAGUCACUGCUCAAGUAUAGGGUGACUGACUGUCAGCCUGUUUUAUCUGGGACCCAGGGGGGUCCCAGAAUCCAGGAGUCUCAGUGCUCAAGCUGGGCAAGUCUCAGGCAUUGGGACAGGUUGGUCACCCUAACUUUAUAUCAUUUCCCAACCGAAACCCCAGCAUCUUAUUACUUCCAAGUUUGAUCAGCAUCCUGUGUCCCCAGUGUCUUCAUUUAAGAACUUGAAAGCUUUGACCUGGAAAGAGCCGACGUCAGAGCUCCGUGAUGCGCUAGAAGGUAUUUGUGCAGGUUCAUUUCUACUUCGUAAUUAACAUGCCUUGAAUAGUUACCUAUUCUUUGGCUUAUGUUAUCAUCUAAAACAUAUUUCUCUCUUUUUUCAUUAGAGCAUCGUUAAAAUCUAGCUAAGACCCAGAUUCACUGAAGCAAAAUGCAAUCCUUUGAUCCACCAGCUUUGCCAACCUGUCCAAAAAUGAAAUUAGUCUGUCAAACUUGUUCUUUGUGAACUCAUGUCGGCUUCACAUUAGUCAGAGCUUGUGUGCGCGUAUAUGCGCGUGUGCGUGUGCACACCUGUGCAUGAGCCGUUCUUUCAAUUAACCCCUCUAGAGCCUUACCUUGGGUCAACAUUGAUUCACUUAUAGAGGAAUAAUCUCCUCUACUACGUACCCCCAUUGCCGUAUAUUUCCUAAGUUUUCAAAAACAUAGAAGCCAUUGAAGGGAAUGAAAUAUUUUCUCCUCCUGACCGUGUAAGAUUCAGAAGCCAGUCUUAAGCAGUGUCUAUGCUGAUGAAAUAUGUCUCUCAUAGCGCAGACGUGGGCUCUGCCUGCGAAUUCCUGGUGACCUGGCUCAGUCCGAGGCAAACACAACAUCUAGGAUGAAUAGGAAGGAGUGUUUCACAUGUAAGCUAGCUAUGUGAAUACGCAGUCGUUUAUAGGGCUGUAAAUACAGUCUGAUUGGUGCCAAGUCAUCGACGUUAAAGCAGUGAUGGUUACCAUUUGGGGAGGUUUGGAGGCAGAUGCAUCUCAGUUUAAACUGACAGCUUAAGUAAUUGCCAUCAUUUGUUUUGUUUUAUUUCCAAAUAAAACCAGAACUGUUUCUGGUUGCCCUGGGCUUGCACCAUGCAUCUGGGGAAGGGAGCUUUCCCCCUUUGUCAGAGGACCGCUUAUCUCCUGCUUACAAUGUAAGCUGCAUAAGGGUUGCUGAUAAGAAGAAAAUGUCAAACACGAGGAAGAAGAAGUGUUUAUACCGGGAGCCCUACCCAAUAUUCUGUGAUCGUCUACACAGGAAAGAAUCUGAAAAAGAGUGGAUGUCUGUCUAUAGCUGAAUCACUCUGCUGUACAGCAAACAUCAUCACAGCAUCGUAAAUCAGCUCUGCCUCAGGGAGACAUUAAACAAUAGGAACAAGUAGUUAAUGCACAAGAUAAAUUCCUGGAAUUGAAAUCUUCAGCGGCUCGAUAUGUUCAAUUCCAGAACGUCCGCCCUGUUUCUGUUUUGUGGCACAACGGCUAUACUCAGUCUCCUGUCGUGACACGUCUGUUACGUCUUAGAGUAAAAUGCCCAUCGACCGGUAAACACGAGUCAUUGUUUAGUAGUCGUAAUGAUGGUAACACGUUACCACUAGUGUUAUCAGUCUCCCGACCCGAAGGACCUGCAACCCCGACGUAACUCUGCCACUCCCUGGCACUGUGCCUGCGGCUUUGGCGUCAGGUUUGUUUCAUGAUUUGUAAAAUUCGGAUGAACAGCUCCUGGACGGCGGACCUCUCGGGAUGUUUGGGAGGCAGUGGUUUUUAUCGAGCCUGUGCUACAUGCCAGAGGCUAUUUGGCACCUUUCGUGGAUUAUUUCGUUUCAUCCUCACAGCACCUCAGGAGCAUGAACAGUAGUAUUCCCCUGGUUUUGCAAAUGGGAAGCCGAAGCUGAGCGAGGUGAAAUAAUGUACCUGAGAUCCCACGGCCUCUACGUGGCAAAGCUAGGAGGUGAUUCCGUGCCAGGCUAAGGCAACUGUACCUGAGACAUAAACACGCGGGCUCCCUUGCGAACGAGCCGUAGGCCUGUCUUCGGAAAUGCAGACGCGUGGAAGGAGCUCGGAUUCUCUCACCCGGAGGAGGAGGAGGGAGGCUUUGCACAUUCCUGUGGUUUUUCCUGAAAGAAAGCCUGUGCUCGCACUCAUUUCUUGGGCCAAAAGUAGCAGUUGGCAGAAUAUCUCGCAGAUACCAGGUCUGUGUGAGACGAAACCCAUCACGCGUGAUGCCCGCAGAUGGGCCUGGAACCGCCGUGUGUUUAGGCGUGCGCGCCGCCCAAGGGCCACGCUUGUUGGUGAUGCUCCAGCGCUCCUCGGCCUCCACAAAGCGGGGCCAGUCCUUCAGGCAGCCUGGGCCGGGCUCAGAAAGCCGGCCUUUCACAUGCCUGCAUUUAGGACAUGCUGCUGAGGGGUUCACCGCAGCUGCUGUGGUCCAACACGGUUUCUUUCGCAUUUCAUUCAAACCAAGAGAUUUUUAGGAAGCACACCCUCUCUCCUAGAAUUAGUUGGUUAUCCUCGAAGACAUAGUCUAAUUCUUUCCAUUUCUUGUAUUUCCUAAGUAUUUUCUAUCCACACAUAGUAUUUCUUUAACCAAAGUAAUACUCCAUACUUUGGGGUUGGCACUCAUGGAAUUCCAAAUACUUUCCUCUGGAGUAUAUGUUGUUCUGGUCCCAGGUACAGAUGGUUUGUUCUACACACUGGAAAUAGUGGCGAUGGGGUGGGGAAAUAUUUAAAACUCAAUUUUCCCUGAGAAGAAAAGGAGCAGUUGUAGCAGCGGCAGAUACUGUCCUAACUCCCGAAUUUGAGACAGUUGAAAAAUCAGUGUGUUUUUACGUUCAGUUUAACUCAACAUUAACGAAAAUUCUUCCAUUAAUUUAAAUAGCUGUUAUAACUGUUUUGGAGUUCUUAAAAACAACCAAAAUUUCCUCUGAGAAAUAAUGGUUUGUAUGUGAUCCAACUAAUGCCUUCCAGUCCAUUUAUUCCUAAAUUUAAAAUGUGGAAAUAAGAGCUGACUAGAUAGACUUAAAUAAAGAGCAGC